RNAcentral lists this long non-coding RNA (777 nucleotides) under Homo sapiens (human). RNAcentral describes it as "novel transcript, antisense to SP110". Lineage: Eukaryota; Metazoa; Chordata; Mammalia; Primates; Hominidae. The record is from RNAcentral.
UUGGGGUUUGCAUCCAACUCACCAGCUGGUCCUGAGGCUGCAUCUGCCUCUCCAGGGUCUUAGAUACAUGAUGGCACUGUUGGCUUCCUGAAGACCUCUUCAUCCUGCAGAAGGUGCAACUCCACAGCAUCCUGAGAGGUUGGACACAAGCUGCUGGGAGCACAAAGGAACCCUGCCUGCCAGGCUUGAGUGUCAGAAUCUGGGCUUUCACCUGCAGGGACCUCAGGCCUCCAUCAGCCAGGCUUGGAAAGAAUGAAUGGUGCCUCUCGGUGAAUUACUACAACCUGAAUCCUGUGACCCCACCUGUGAUGGCCCAAUGUUAUUGAAAUUACUGACUCCAUCCACUUAGCAAGUGGUAAAUACUCUGCAGGCAUAGAUUUGACUAAUGUGUUCUGUUCAGCGCCUAUUUCAACAGAUCUCAGCUGCAGGUUGCUUUCACCCCCGAAGGGACACAAUAGACCGUUAUCUGGCUACCACGGGGUACCUCGACAGUUCUGCCACCAUACACAAUCUUUGCAGGCAGGAUUUGAACUGCAUCUGACAUUCUCUAGGAGUACAGGUGUAACAUCACCCUGAAGACACCCUUCUUUCAGCAAAUUCAUUUGACACACUCAGGACAUUACUCACAAAGAACUCAUAGAAAAGGAUGGGGUUUGUGUUUCCACAUGGUGGGAUUAAACUAAAACAAAAAAGUAUGGGCCACUGCCCCAGGCAUAGUACAGGGAUCCACACCAAUUUCUGGCCAUUGUCUGGUCAGUUGAGGGAUGCUCCAUCCCU